GACGAACGCUGGCGGCGUGCUUAACACAUGCAAGUCGAACGGUGAAGCGCCUUCCUUUUUGGUGGGUGUGGAUGAGUGGCGAACGGGUGCGUAACACGUGAGUAACCUGCCCCCUUCUUCUGGAUAACCGCAUGAAAGUGUGGCUAAUACGGGAUAUUCUGGGUCUGUCGCAUGAUGGGUCUGGGACAGAUAUUGUUUCGGUGGGGGAUGGGCUCGCGGCCUAUCAGCUUGUUGGUGCGGUGAUGGCCUACCAAGGCUGUGACGGGUGGCCGGCCUGGGAGGGUGGACGGUCACACUGGGAGUGAGGCACGGCCGAGACUCCGACGGGGGGCAGCAGUGGGGAAUAGGGCACAGUGGGCGAAAGCCUGAUGCAGCGACGACGCGUGAGGGAUGGAGGCCGGCGGGUUGUGAACCUCUUUCGCUAGUGAAGCAGGCCUGCCUCGGGUGUGGGUGGGUUGACGGUAGCUGGAGAAGAAGCGCCGGCUAACUACGUG
RNAcentral lists this ribosomal RNA (494 nucleotides) under uncultured bacterium. RNAcentral describes it as "partial 16S ribosomal RNA". It matches the Rfam family "Bacterial small subunit ribosomal RNA", at positions 28 to 507 of the family's 1533-position model. The record is from RNAcentral.